CCCCAACUCCUCCGCCAAGCCGCGCAUGUCUAAGAGUCGCUGAGGAGCCCAGGCGAUUCACCCAGACUUCCGCUUCCGCUCCCGAGGACUGGCGCCUGCGCAAUAGCCGCGUCAUGGCGUGGACCCGGAAGGUAAAAUUGAGACCAAAGUAUCCCAACAAUGAAGCAUUAUGAAAAGGCCCCGAGCACAUCAGAUGUGACUUCUGUUCUGGGGUAGAAACCAGGGUCCUUACGUGUUAAGCACAUAUUCUACCAUUGAGCUACACCUCAAGCCAUCACAGAGUCUCAAUACAUCAAUACUGGAAGAAUGGAAAACUGAUUAAUCCUUGCCCCCUUUUUAUGUGUGGAGAAAUAGAAUCAAGGAAGGGAAUCUUCUCCUCUCAGCAGCACCUCUCACUGAUGGUGACAUUGACUACCUUUUAUGCUUGAUCCUGUCUGGGUAUGAAAACAUGUAUGUAGUGUGAAGGUACAAGAGGAACAAGCUUUCAAACAUUCUGAAAAGUAUUGAAAGUGAUAUAGCCCACACCACUAAAGCUUAUCUUUGCUUUUCAAACCCAGGCCCAAGGACAUUGAUCAAGUUGCAUUGUAUUCAAACUGACAUGUUGAAUUGAAAUCCCUUUGUACAACUACUUAAAAAUUAAAAAAAUUAAAAUGAACCCAGACCCUAA
Perognathus longimembris pacificus (Pacific pocket mouse) is the source of this 667-nucleotide long non-coding RNA. RefSeq lists it as uncharacterized. NCBI's taxonomy places the organism in Eukaryota, Metazoa, Chordata, Mammalia, Rodentia, Heteromyidae. The record is from RefSeq and is a predicted model, not a curated record. The transcript is spliced from 3 exons.